GCAGAACACAAGCAAAAAAGACGGUAUUCCCAUUGUUGUCCAAACCAAACCAUACUCCAACAGGUCUGUCAUAGGCAUAUAAAUGAUAUGUUGUGUCGAAAAUCACGACGUCUCCAAACAUCAUAUAUGCACGAAUCGACUCUGGAUACGACCAGACAAUAUGUUCAAGCUUGUCGCUGAAGUCCAGUGUGAACUCAUAACGACAAUCUGGG
This 212-nucleotide unclassified non-coding RNA is filed under the name Hevea brasiliensis (rubber tree). The record is from RNAcentral. Lineage: Eukaryota; Viridiplantae; Streptophyta; Magnoliopsida; Malpighiales; Euphorbiaceae.